This 492-nucleotide ribosomal RNA is filed under the name uncultured bacterium. Its description in RNAcentral is "partial 16S ribosomal RNA". It matches the Rfam family "Bacterial small subunit ribosomal RNA", at positions 29 to 507 of the family's 1533-position model. The record is from RNAcentral.
AAUGAACGCUGGCGGUGUGCCUAACACAUGCAAGUCGAGCGGCCACACGAUGAGCUUUCUCCUUUACCGUUGGCGACUGACGGGUGAGUAACACAUAGAUCACCUUCUUCUUUUUCGUGGAUAAUAUCGUAAAACCGGUUCCGCUACUACCUCAUAUGUCCUACCGCUUGGAUCAGUAGAUCUUCGCGCCUUUCGCGUUUGUAUUAGCCGAUGUCGCAUUAGCUAGUUGGCUAGGUAAGGGCCUACCAAGGCAACGAUGCGUAGCUGAUCUGAGAGGAUGAUCAGCCACACUGGAACUGAGACACGGUCCAGACUCCUACGGGAGGCAGCAGUAGGGAAUAUUGGGCAAUGGGCGAAAGCCUGACGGAGCAAUGCCGCGUGAGUGAAGAAGGUCUUCGGAUCGUAAAACUCUGUUAUUAGGGAAGAAAAAAAGUGGAAGUAAAUAUGGACGUCUUGACGGUACCUAAACAAAAAGCAACGGCUAACUACGUG